Molecule: transfer RNA, 64 nt
Filed under: Micrura bella
Lineage: Eukaryota; Metazoa; Nemertea; Pilidiophora; Heteronemertea; Lineidae
Description: tRNA-Lys
Source: RNAcentral
UCUUAAGUAACUAAUUGCAAGUGUUGAACUUUUGAUUCAAUAAUGGUUGUUUUAACCCUAGGGC